Molecule: non-coding RNA, 183 nt
Filed under: Paenibacillaceae bacterium
Lineage: Bacteria; Bacillati; Bacillota; Bacilli; Caryophanales; Paenibacillaceae
Description: 6S / SsrS RNA
Rfam family: 6S / SsrS RNA
About the family: E. coli 6S RNA was the first non coding RNA to be sequenced, but its function was unknown until recently. It consists of 184 nucleotides that fold into an extended hairpin structure with a large single-stranded internal bulge. The 6S RNA specifically associates with RNA polymerase holoenzyme containing the sigma70 specificity factor.
Source: Rfam by way of RNAcentral
UACAUCCUGCGGUGUUCGUUACGGCUUUACGUUGUUUUGAACCAAUGGCUGUUUCACGGGAGUUCUAUAUCGAAGCGUAGCUGUCAUGCCCCCGAAAAGGGACUUCAAAAUCGCUUCUGCGGACACCCACCUGCGAAAGCGGGUUCUGAAACAUGUGAGUCGGACGGCAUCGGCGGGUUUUAA